AGAAUCAACGCUGGCGGCGUGCCUAACACAUGCAAGUCGAACGAGAAAGUGGAGCAAUCCAUGAGUAAAGUGGCGCACGGGUGAGUAACACGUGACUAACCUACCUUUUAGUGGGGGAUAACCUAGGGAAACCUGGGCUAAUACCGCAUAAUACCUACGGGUCAAAGCAGCAAUGCGCUGAAAGAGGGGGUCGCGGUCGAUUAGUUAGUUGGCAGGGUAAUGGCCUACCAAGACUGUGAUCGAUAUCCGGCCUGAGAGGGCGCACGGACACACUGGAACUGAAACACGGUCCAGACUCCUACGGGAGGCAGCAGUGGGGAAUUUUGCGCAAGUGGGGGGAAACCCUGACGCAGCAACGCCGCGUGGAGGAUGAAGUCCCUUGGGACGUAAACUCCUUUCGAUCGGGACGAUAAUGACGGUACCGGAAGAAGAAGCCCCGGCUAACUUCGCGCCAGCAGCCGC
RNAcentral lists this ribosomal RNA (462 nucleotides) under uncultured bacterium. RNAcentral describes it as "SSU rRNA". It matches the Rfam family "Bacterial small subunit ribosomal RNA", at positions 26 to 518 of the family's 1533-position model. The record is from RNAcentral.